AAAUUGAAGAGUUUGAUCAUGGCUCAGAUUGAACGCUGGCGGCAGGCCUAACACAUGCAAGUCGAGCGGUAGCACAGAGAGCUUGCUCUCGGGUGACGAGCGGCGGACGGGUGAGUAAUGUCUGGGAAACUGCCUGAUGGAGGGGGAUAACUACUGGAAACGGUAGCUAAUACCGCAUAACGUCGCAAGACCAAAGUGGGGGACCUUCGGGCCUCAUGCCAUCAGAUGUGCCCAGAUGGGAUUAGCUAGUAGGUGGGGUAAUGGCUCACCUAGGCGACGAUCCCUAGCUGGUCUGAGAGGAUGACCAGCCACACUGGAACUGAGACACGGUCCAGACUCCUACGGGAGGCAGCAGUGGGGAAUAUUGCACAAUGGGCGCAAGCCUGAUGCAGCCAUGCCGCGUGUGUGAAGAAGGCCUUCGGGUUGUAAAGCACUUUCAGCGGGGAGGAAGGCGUUAAGGUUAAUAACCUCAUCGAUUGACGUUACCCGCAGAAGAAGCACCGGCUAACUCCGUGCCAGCAGCCGCGGUAAUACGGAGGGUGCAAGCGUUAAUCGGAAUUACUGGGCGUAAAGCGCACGCAGGCGGUCUGUCAAGUCGGAUGUGAAAUCCCCGGGCUCAACCUGGGAACUGCAUUCGAAACUGGCAGGCUAGAGUCUUGUAGAGGGGGGUAGAAUUCCAGGUGUAGCGGUGAAAUGCGUAGAGAUCUGGAGGAAUACCGGUGGCGAAGGCGGCCCCCUGGACAAAGACUGACGCUCAGGUGCGAAAGCGUGGGGAGCAAACAGGAUUAGAUACCCUGGUAGUCCACGCCGUAAACGAUGUCGAUUUGGAGGUUGUGCCCUUGAGGCGUGGCUUCCGGAGCUAACGCGUUAAAUCGACCGCCUGGGGAGUACGGCCGCAAGGUUAAAACUCAAAUGAAUUGACGGGGGCCCGCACAAGCGGUGGAGCAUGUGGUUUAAUUCGAUGCAACGCGAAGAACCUUACCUGGUCUUGACAUCCACAGAACUUUCCAGAGAUGGAUUGGUGCCUUCGGGAACUGUGAGACAGGUGCUGCAUGGCUGUCGUCAGCUCGUGUUGUGAAAUGUUGGGUUAAGUCCCGCAACGAGCGCAACCCUUAUCCUUUGUUGCCAGCGGUUAGGCCGGGAACUCAAAGGAGACUGCCAGUGAUAAACUGGAGGAAGGUGGGGAUGACGUCAAGUCAUCAUGGCCCUUACGACCAGGGCUACACACGUGCUACAAUGGCAUAUACAAAGAGAAGCGACCUCGCGAGAGCAAGCGGACCUCAUAAAGUAUGUCGUAGUCCGGAUUGGAGUCUGCAACUCGACUCCAUGAAGUCGGAAUCGCUAGUAAUCGUAGAUCAGAAUGCUACGGUGAAUACGUUCCCGGGCCUUGUACACACCGCCCGUCACACCAUGGGAGUGGGUUGCAAAAGAAGUAGGUAGCUUAACCUUCGGGAGGGCGCUUACCACUUUGUGAUUCAUGACUGGGGUGAAGUCGUAACAAGGUAACCGUAGGGGAACCUGCGGUUGGAUCACCUCCUUACCUUAAAGAA
This 1550-nucleotide ribosomal RNA is filed under the name Klebsiella pneumoniae. Its description in RNAcentral is "bacterial SSU rRNA". It matches the Rfam family "Bacterial small subunit ribosomal RNA". The record is from RNAcentral. Lineage: Bacteria; Pseudomonadati; Pseudomonadota; Gammaproteobacteria; Enterobacterales; Enterobacteriaceae.